This 305-nucleotide long non-coding RNA is filed under the name Mytilus galloprovincialis (Mediterranean mussel). The record is from RNAcentral. Lineage: Eukaryota; Metazoa; Mollusca; Bivalvia; Mytilida; Mytilidae.
UGGCGGCCAUCUUGGUUAGUUGGUCAGGUCACGGGACACAUUUUUUAAACUAGAUACCCCAAUGAUGAUUGUGGCCAAGUUUGGAUUAAUUUGGCCCAUUAGUUUCAGAGGAGAAGAUUUUUGUAAAAGAUUACUAAGAUUUACGAAAAAUGGUUAAUAAUUGACUAUAAAGGGCAAUAACUCCUAAAGGGGUCAAUUGACCAUUUCGGUCAUGAUGACUUAUUUGUAAAUCUUACUUUGCUGAACAUUAUUGCUGUUUACAGUUUAUCUCUAUCUAUAAUAAUAUUCAAGAUAAUAACCAAAAA